CAGCCGCCGCGGUAAUACGGGGGGUGCAAGCGUUAUUCGGAAUUACUGGGCGUAAAGAGCGCGUAGGCGGUCUCUUAAGUCGGGUGUGAAAGCCCGGAGCUCAACCCCGGAAGUGCACUCGAAACUAAGGGACUUGAGUAUGGGAGAGGGAAGUGGAAUUCCUGGUGUAGCGGUGAAAUGCGUAGAUAUCAGGAGGAACACCGGUGGUGAAGGCGACUUCCUGGACCAAUACUGACGCUGAGGCGCGAAGGCGUGGGGAGCAAACAGGAUUAGAUACCCUGGUAGUCCACGCAGUAAACGGUGAACACUAGGUGUAGCGGGUAUUGACCCCUGCUGUGCCGCAGCAAACGCAUUAAGUGUUCCGCCUGGGGAGUACGGCCGCAAGGUCAAAACUCAAAGGAAUUGACGGGGGCCCGCACAAGCGGUGGAGCAUGUGGUUUAAUUCGACGCAACGCGAAGAACCUUACCUGGAUUUGACAUCCCGGGAAUCUUUUUGAAAAAUUUGAGUGCCCUUCGGGGAGCCCGGUGGCAGGUGCUGCAUGGCUGUCGUCAGCUCGUGUCGUGAGAUGUUGGGUUAAGUCCCGCAACGAGCGCGACCCCUUUCUUUAGUUACCAUCAUUUAGUUGGGGACUCUAAAGAUACUGCCCCGGUUAACGGGGAGGAAGGUGGGGAUGACGUCAAGUCCUCAUGGCCUUUAUGUCCAGGGCUACACACGUGCUACAAUGGGCUGUACAAAGGGUUGCCAGCCCGCGAGGGUGAGCUAAUCCCAGAAAGCAGUUCGUAAUUCGGAUUGGAGUCUGCAACUCGACUCCAUGAAGCUGGAAUCGCUAGUAAUCGUGGAUCAGCAUGCCACGGUGAAUACGUUCCCGGGCCUUGUACACACCGCCCGUCACACCAUGAGAGUUGGCUGUACCAGAAGUCGUUGGGCAAACCCUUCGGGGAUGCAGGCGCCUAAGGUAUGGCUGAUGAUUGGGGUGAAGUCGUAACAAGGUAGCCGUA
RNAcentral lists this ribosomal RNA (999 nucleotides) under uncultured bacterium. RNAcentral describes it as "bacterial SSU rRNA". It matches the Rfam family "Bacterial small subunit ribosomal RNA", at positions 509 to 1504 of the family's 1533-position model. The record is from RNAcentral.